This is a non-coding RNA of Poecilia formosa (Amazon molly), 47 nucleotides long. Lineage: Eukaryota; Metazoa; Chordata; Actinopteri; Cyprinodontiformes; Poeciliidae. The record is from Rfam.
CCUUUGGAUGUUUUCACAUCCACACCACACCUUAAGACAAGAUGACU